Molecule: ribosomal RNA, 254 nt
Filed under: uncultured bacterium
Lineage: Bacteria
Description: partial 16S ribosomal RNA
Rfam family: Bacterial small subunit ribosomal RNA
Source: RNAcentral
UACGGAGGGCGCGAGCGUUGUCCGGAAUCACUGGGCGUAAAGGGCGCGUAGGCGGCCCUGGUAAGUCUGCGGUGAAAGCCUGGGGCUCAACCCCGGGUCGGCCGCGGGUACUGCCGGGCUGGAGUGCCGUAGGGGCAGGCGGAAUUCCGGGUGUAGCGGUGGAAUGCGUAGAGAUCCGGAAGAACACCGGUGGCGAAGGCGGCCUGCUGGGCGGCGACUGACGCUGAGGCGCGACAGCGUGGGGAGCAAACAGG